Molecule: ribosomal RNA, 465 nt
Filed under: Vreelandella stevensii
Lineage: Bacteria; Pseudomonadati; Pseudomonadota; Gammaproteobacteria; Oceanospirillales; Halomonadaceae
Description: partial 16S ribosomal RNA
Rfam family: Bacterial small subunit ribosomal RNA
Source: RNAcentral
CCUACGGGUGGCAGCAGUGGGGAAUAUUGGACAAUGGGGGCAACCCUGAUCCAGCCAUGCCGCGUGUGUGAAGAAGGCCCUCGGGUUGUAAAGCACUUUCAGUGAGGAAGAACGCCUGGUGGUUAAUACCCAUCAGGAAAGACAUCACUCACAGAAGAAGCACCGGCUAACUCCGUGCCAGCAGCCGCGGUAAUACGGAGGGUGCGAGCGUUAAUCGGAAUUACUGGGCGUAAAGCGCGCGUAGGUGGCUUGAUAAGCCGGUUGUGAAAGCCCCGGGCUCAACCUGGGAACGGCAUCCGGAACUGUCAAGCUAGAGUGCAGGAGAGGAAGGUAGAAUUCCCGGUGUAGCGGUGAAAUGCGUAGAGAUCGGGAGGAAUACCAGUGGCGAAGGCGGCCUUCUGGACUGACACUGACUCUGAGGUGCGAAAGCGUGGGUAGCAAACAGGAUUAGAUACCCCAGUAGUC